Molecule: ribosomal RNA, 531 nt
Filed under: uncultured bacterium
Lineage: Bacteria
Description: bacterial SSU rRNA
Rfam family: Bacterial small subunit ribosomal RNA
Source: RNAcentral
CCUUGACAUACUAAGAACUUUCCAGAGAUGGAUUGGUGCCUUCGGGAACUUAGAUACAGGUGCUGCAUGGCUGUCGUCAGCUCGUGUCGUGAGAUGUUGGGUUAAGUCCCGCAACGAGCGCAACCCUCUUCCUUAUUUGCCAGCGGGUCAUGCCGGGAACUUUAAGGAUACUGCCAGUGACAAACUGGAGGAAGGCGGGGACGACGUCAAGUCAUCAUGGCCCUUACGGCCAGGGCUACACACGUGCUACAAUGGUCGGUACAAAGGGUUGCUACCUCGCGAGAGGAUGCUAAUCUCAAAAAGCCGAUCGUAGUCCGGAUCGCAGUCUGCAACUCGACUGCGUGAAGUCGGAAUCGCUAGUAAUCGCGGAUCAGAAUGCCGCGGUGAAUACGUUCCCGGGCCUUGUACACACCGCCCGUCACACCAUGGGAGUUUGUUGCACCAGAAGUAGGUAGUCUAACCGCAAGGAGGACGCUUACCACGGUGUGGCCGAUGACUGGGGUGAAGUCGUAACAAGGUAAGCGUAGAUGA